AUAAUAAUUAGUCUUUUAAUUGGGGGCUGGAAUGAAGGAUUAGACAAAAUAAAAACUGUCUUUAGUUAAUUUUAAUUGAAUUUAAUUUUUAAGUUAAAAAGCUUAAAUUUUAUUAAAGGACGAGAAGACCCUAUAGAGUUUUAUAUUUAUUAUAAUUUAGAUUUUUAAUUUAUUUUUAAAUUAUUAUAAAUAUUUUAUUGGGGUGAUAGAUAAAUUUAAUUAACUUUUUUAUUUAUAUUUACAUUAAUUAAUGAAAUUUUGAUCCUAAUUUUUUUAGAUUAUUAGAUUAAAUUACCUUAGGGAUAACAGCAUAAUUUUUUUUAAAAGUUCUUAUUGAUUAAAAAGAUUGC
This 350-nucleotide ribosomal RNA is filed under the name Abia fasciata. RNAcentral describes it as "partial 16S ribosomal RNA". The record is from RNAcentral. Lineage: Eukaryota; Metazoa; Arthropoda; Insecta; Hymenoptera; Cimbicidae.